Molecule: ribosomal RNA, 380 nt
Filed under: uncultured bacterium
Lineage: Bacteria
Description: bacterial SSU rRNA
Rfam family: Bacterial small subunit ribosomal RNA
Source: RNAcentral
AAUCAACGCUGGCGGCGUGCCUAACACAUGCAAGUCGAACGAGAAAGUGGCAGCAAUGCCAUGAGUACAGUGGCGCACGGGUGAGUAACACGUGACUAACCUACCCAGGAGUGGGGAAUAACUUCGGGAAACCGAGGCUAAUACCGCAUAACACCUACGGGUCAAAGGAGCAAUUCGCUUCUGGAGGGGGUCGCGGCCGAUUAGUUAGUUGGCAGGGUAAUGGCCUACCAAGACGAUGAUCGGUAUCCGGCCUGAGAGGGCGCACGGACACACUGGAACUGAAACACGGUCCAGACUCCUACGGGAGGGCAGCAGUGGGGAAUUUUGCGCAAUGGGGGAAACCCUGACGCAGCAACGCCGCGUGGAGGAUGAAGUCCUUC